Molecule: ribosomal RNA, 465 nt
Filed under: Vreelandella stevensii
Lineage: Bacteria; Pseudomonadati; Pseudomonadota; Gammaproteobacteria; Oceanospirillales; Halomonadaceae
Description: partial 16S ribosomal RNA
Rfam family: Bacterial small subunit ribosomal RNA
Source: RNAcentral
CCUACGGGGUGCAGCAGUGGGGAAUAUUGGACAAUGGGCGAAAGCCUGAUCCAGCCAUGCCGCGUGUGUGAAGAAGGCCUUCGGGUUGUAAAGCACUUUCAGUGGGGAAGAAAGCCUUGGGGCUAAUACCCUCGAGGAAGGACAUCACCCACAGAAGAAGCACCGGCUAACUCCGUGCCAGCAGCCGCGGUAAUACGGAGGGUGCGAGAGUUAAUCGGAAUUACUGGGCGUAAAGCGCGCGUAGGCGGUCUGAUAAGCCGGUUGUGAAAGCCCCGGGCUCAACCUGGGAACGGCAUCCGGAACUGUCAGGCUAGAGUGCAGGAGAGGAAGGUAGAAUUCCCGGUGUAGCGGUGAAAUGCGUAGAGAUCGGGAGGAAUACCAGUGGCGAAGGCGGCCUUCUGGACUGACACUGACGCUGAGGUGCGAAAGCGUGGGUAGCAAACAGGAUUAGAUACCCUGGUAGUC